AAACAAUCUCUUGGAGAGAGAAUAAGGAGAAAACUCACAUGGCUACUCUAAGACUCCAAGCUCUCUUUGUGAUCAACCUGCUUCUGCUCUUGCAGUUCGGUACACACCAAUGUAAGUUAUUCAUCACUCAAAACCUACUGCAUUAUAUAUAUGUCAUUAGCUUAGUAAAAACAAGUCGGAAACCGGUUGUUCGAACACUAAUCAGUACAAGAAAAACGGUUAUUUUCAACCAUUUAUUUAUACUACUAUCACUAAAAAACAGGUUAAAACUGACCACCGUUGUUGGUCGGUUCUAAUCGUAAAACUGACCGUUUAUUGACGUAAUUGACCAUUUUCGACCGUCGGUUUUAUCCUGUUGUUUUUUAGGGUAUGUAAUCGCUAAUUCAAAAACUUAAUAUUUAUAUAUAUCGACGAAACUAGGUUUGAUGGCAACUGAUUUGAGGCCGAUAAGCGGAGGAGAUGAAACCUCCACAACCACAAGCAUCUCAAAGCUCAGUUCUGGAGACAACUUCCGUCCUUUCUGUUUUCCUAGGUUCUGCCACACGGAGCAGCUUCGGACACUGGGCUUUGUACAUUGUUGGUGUUGUUUUAAGAAUUUCCAUCUUAGGUGUUUCUCAAAGCGCUUUGUAUGUAAAGAGCUUUGUUAA
RNAcentral lists this long non-coding RNA (647 nucleotides) under Daucus carota (carrot). RNAcentral describes it as "long non-coding RNA (DCAR_LNC006164)". Lineage: Eukaryota; Viridiplantae; Streptophyta; Magnoliopsida; Apiales; Apiaceae. The record is from RNAcentral.